RNAcentral lists this ribosomal RNA (497 nucleotides) under uncultured bacterium. RNAcentral describes it as "partial 16S ribosomal RNA". It matches the Rfam family "Bacterial small subunit ribosomal RNA", at positions 28 to 507 of the family's 1533-position model. The record is from RNAcentral.
GACGAACGCUGGCGGCGUGCCUAAUACAUGCAAGUUGAGCGCUGAAGGUUGGUACUUGUACCAACUGGAUGAGCAGCGAACGGGUGAGUAACGCGUGGGGAAUCUGCCUUUGAGCAGGGGACAACAUUUGGAAACGAAUGCUAAUACCGCAUAAAAACUUUAAACACAAGUUUUAAGUUUGAAAGAUGCAAUUGCAUCACUCAAAGAUGAUCCCGCGUUGUAUUAGCUAGUUGGUGAGGUAAAGGCUCACCAAGGCGAUGAUACAUAGCCGACCUGAGAGGGUGAUCGGCCACAUUGGGACUGAGACACGGCCCAAACUCCUACGGGAGGCAGCAGUAGGGAAUCUUCGGCAAUAGACGAAAGUCUGACCGAGCAACGCCGCGUGAGUGAAGAAGGGUUUCGGAUCGUAAAACUCUGUUGGUAGAGAAGAACGUUGGUGAGAGUGGAAAGCUCACCAAGUGACGGUAACUACCCAGAAAGGGACGGCUAACUACGUG